Molecule: ribosomal RNA, 482 nt
Filed under: uncultured bacterium
Lineage: Bacteria
Description: partial 16S ribosomal RNA
Rfam family: Bacterial small subunit ribosomal RNA
Source: RNAcentral
GACGAACGCUGGCGGCGUGCUUAACACAUGCAAGUCGAACGAUGAAGCAGAGAAACGCGCACUUCGGUUCAAAUUUCACUUCGGAUUAGUGGCAGACGGGUGAGUAACGCGUGAGCAACCUACCUCUUACAAAGGGAUAGCCUCGGGAAACCGUGAUUAAUACCAUAUGACACAUUCAUAAGGCAUCUUAAGAAUGUUAAAGCUACGGCGGUAAGAGAUGGGCUCGCGUCCCAUUAGCUAGUUGGUGAGGUAACGGCCCACCAAGGCGACGAUGGGUAACCGGCCUGAGAGGGUGAACGGUCACAGUGGAACUGAGACACGGUCCAAACUCCUACGGGAGGCAGCAGUGGGGAAUAUUGCACAAUGGAGGGAACUCUGAUGCAGCGACGCCGCGUGAGCGAUGAAGGAAUUCGUUUCGUAAAGCUCUGUUCUAUGGGAAGAAAAGGACUGUACCAUAGGAGAAAGCCCCGGCUAAAUACGUG